UUUGGUAGAACGUUUGCGGAUAUACAAUGUACCUUCAAAAUAAUUUUUUUGGGACCUUGUUGGUGUUUCUAUGUUUAUUUACACUGGGAUGUAAAAUUGAAAGUAAUACUUUUAAAGAACUUCUAGUUCACAUUUUUCAACAAUCAGAUGUUGCCCUGCAUGAUACAUGUAAAAUUUUACCUGUUUAUGUUCUCCUUUUUUCUUUUUUUUUGGCCAAAUAUUUUUUUUGCAUCCUUAAGUUUAUAUGGCAACAUAUUUUUUUCUUUCUAAUUUCCCCCCUAAAUCUUAUUUUUAAUAUUUUUUAAACUUGGGAAUUUUCAUUUUUUUCAUUUUUUGGUAAAAAAAUUAUUCUUCACUGGACUUGGUGAACUAUGGUCAGUAUCGGGCCCACUGCCUGCCUAAGAGGGGCCCGAGUACAUAAUGCUUCAGUGAUUCAUAUAAACAACCAGAUUUUUUUCUCAAAAGGGGGGGCCCCCCUCCUUAAUUCACCUCUGAUGCUAAUUAAGGUAUCAUAUUGCAGGAUCUUGCUUCUUAAAAAGUUAAAAAUAAGACUUUUCUCUGCAAAGCUUUUACCAGCUAGUUGAACCCUGAUUAGGUUGAAAAAAAUCAGAUGCAGAUUCCAGCUUUUUUAGAGGGGGGGGGGGUAAAAAAAUGACAAAUCUUGGAUAAAAUGGAGGAAGGAAAUGUGGAAUGUGUCAAAGAGACAACAACCCGCCCAAAGAGCAAAUAACAGCCAAAUUGUUAAAACUUCUGUGCAUUAACAAAUAUGUAUAACCCUAAUGCCAGUAAAUGGUGGCUUGGGGUUUGGCAUCCUGCUCCAUCAAAUCAACCCAGAAAUUAGAUUCUUGUAUAAGUUGACAUUCUUGCAAAUUCUGUCUUGGAAUGACUUCUCUGAUUAGCAAUUCAUAAUCUUAAUAAAAUAUCGAUUACUUGUAUAUAAUUUCUAGAAUAUUUGCAAACAUGUGUAUAAUCUAAUUUUAGAAUCAUAACUAACCCAAGAAAAUGGAAAUGAAAAGAAAAGGUUACUUUCCAGUCAAGUGAUGAGCAUACUUACUAAAUACUGAAGGUGUUCUAGAUACUGAUGUUCACAGGAUUGAUACAUGUAGGUAUAUAUUAGUUAGUAAAAUCAGUGAAACCAUUAUUUAAAAUUAAACAUUUAUAGUUACACUUUAGUAUGCACAGACUCAGUUGAAAAGUAGUUGAAAAUCUGAAAAUGACACACACUUAAUAGCCAAGGGACAGUGAACAGGUCUUCUUUGAUGCGCUGAAUAUAAACAUGUAUUUAGAUUUUUUAUUUGUGCCCAGUUUUCUGUUUUUUCAUUUAAAUAUAUGCAUUUUCAAUUGUUGCACGUGACACUUGGCAGCUUCAAUAAGAUAUUGAAAAUGUUUUCAUUAUGACAACUCCAAAUCUUGUAUUGUUUUGCUCAGCUCAACCACCUCAAUUAUUUGUAUGUGUCUGAACUCUGAAGACUACAUGUUUUGUCCCAUCAUUGUGUUACAUAGACUUACACAUGGUCCCACAUCUCGCUUAUUCAUAUCUAUAUAUAUUAAAAUGAAGAUGUAGCAUGAUUGCUAAUGAGACAACCCUCAACAUUGACAGUGAUAUUGUUGGCUUUUUUCAAAACUACCUCUACCCUUUUUUAUUGGGAAAAUAUGCGUUAUUUUCAUAAAAUUGGGAAAUUUAAAAUAAAGCAUGAAUUUGACUGAAACUUCAAUUUACAGACCCAUUUUCAAGAGUCAAAUCCUGCUUUAAGAUAAGACCCCAUUUUGUCAGUGGUGAUACAUAAAUAGACCCUCAAAUGUGCACAUAUAAACAUUUGAGGCAUGAACAUUUUUUAAGUCGUGUUUUUCAGUUUGUAUUCAUGCACAAUUACUACUAAGAUUGCACUGUUUGGGAAAAAGUUGUCUUUUGGGAAUAAUUUUAAGCCUUUUUUUUUCAAAUUGGGAUUCUUCUCCAAGCCUUUAAUUAUACUCCAUUAAUUUAAGGCAAACAAUAUCACUGAUUGAAGAGACCAAAUGGCACCGUAAUUAACAACCAUAUAGUUUAAAACAAAAUGUCACCAAAACAAAAUCAUUGGGUUUUCUGUAUCAUCUGUUACAUGUAUGAGAAACAUAGAUUUCAUAGUACUUUUAUUUUCAGGCAAGUAUUCACUGUGUAACCGAGUAAAAUUCUAGAUGAGUGAAUGGAUUGACGAAGUAGAUUCCAGUAAAACAUUAUUAAGAAAGAAUAAUAUACAACAAGUGUUGGUGAAAUAUUAUCAGGUAAAACAUUAUAUGAUCCAUCAUAAAGAAUGUUAUAUAUUGAAAUCAUUUUUUUUUCUGACCCUGCCGUACGGAGGGGGGGGGGUAUUAAGUUUUACCCUUUUCUGUCUAUACGUCAGUCCGUAUGUCCUAAAGUUGGUUUCUGUUCUCUUACUUUAGUUUGCCUCAAUCAAAUGUUAUGAAACUUAUACACAAUGUUUGUUUCCACAAAACACAGAUCUACAUGUAUUUUUAAUUUUGGUGGCCUUGCUUAAACCGUUCCAGAGUUGAGUUGUGCCCCUUAAAAAUGGAAAAAUUGCUGAAUUUUUCGUUUCCAUUGGCUAACUUUAGUUUGCCUCAAACAAGUGCUAUGAAACUUAUACCCAAUGCUAAAAUAACACAAAAUAGUCAAAUACAGAUCAAGUUUGAAUUUUGGAGGUGUCAUGUAAAUGGUUUUAGAGUUAUGCCCCUUUACAAAUGAAAGAAUUGCUGAUAUUUUCGUUUCCAUUCUCUAACUGAAGUUUGCCUCAACCAAUUUUUAUGAAACAUAUUAUGUCAUAUACCGGUACACAAUAUUUAUUACCACAAAACUCUGUUCAAGUACAAAUUUGGGUAGCGUCACUAUUACCAUUCUUCAGUUAUGUUUUUUUAUAACUUACAUGAUAUGCAAGCUGGGGCAUCAUCUGUGUGCAUGGGCCACAUUCCUCAUUUAUUUAUUAUUUGUUUAGUUGUAUGUUUUAAAGUUAAGUUUGGCAGUAAUUUUUUCUCACUUGUGUAAUGAUUGCCAAUGAAACAAUCCACCAGUGGAUGCAUGCAAUUACAGGCAAAUGUAUGGCUUUCAACAAUGAGAAAAACCCAUACCAUGUGGUCUGCUAUAAAAAGCACCGACACUAAAAAUAUGAAACAGGUCAAUUGAGAAAACUGACAGCCUAAUUAAUAACAAAACUAUUUACAAAAAACAAAAAAACAACUGAAAUGAACAUAAGAUACAGUGAAAUACAGGCUCCUUGCUUGGGACAGGUACAUAUAAAAUGUGGCUGGGUUAAACCAAUAUCAAGACAUCAACCCUACCCCUUACCUUGUACAGUGAUGUAACAGUACAACACAAGAACAAAAUAUAAGAAUCAGUUGAAAAGAGCUUAGCUCUUCAGCUUGAUACAAUGCAGGAAACAACUAACAAAAACAGAUGUGUCAGGGAAUAUAUAUACAUCCCUCAAAACAAAAUUGCCUCAAAAGUACAACCUGAGAGAAGUCAGUACUAGCAGUUACUGACAGCUAGUUCAAAGCCAGUUACAACAAUUAACUUAUCACAUUCUUCCAAACACAGAUUUUGUGAGAAGACCCAUUGAUGGCCUUGGCCUGUUUUCUGCUCUGGUCAAUUUAUUGUCUUUUUGGCACAUUUCCCAUUUUUAUUCUCUAUUCUACAUAUAUUCAAAUGUCUCUAAAGAAACUAAAUAAAGUUACAUAAAAUAUUUAACCUACCUGUUUUUCUUCUCGACUUUCUUCAUAGUUCUCAUUAAAACCGUGGUUCACUAAAAUAAUAUUCCGCAAAAUGUCAAUGAAGCAAUGGCAUGUAUCAUAAUGAAAAGAACCAGAUUCAGUAUUCUCUGUUGUCCUUUGAGCAACAUGUUAUUAGGGAUAUAGAAAUACUGGGCGUCUUUCUGUCUGGUCUUGUUAGCGCUCUUGCAUGUACAAUUUAGAAUUUUAUGAAACUUUAUUAAGCAAUGUCUUAGACCAGUUCAAAAAUCAGUGCCAUUUAGUUAUUUUUAAAAGAGUUGUGCCCCUUGAAAACAUUAUUUAUAUUGAACAUUGCAUUGUAAGCACUCUUAUGUGUACAAUUUUCGCGAGAUUAUAUGAAAAUUAUAUCAGUUUGACAAGUUUGAAAAUCAGUGCUGAUCAAAUAUAUUUAAGAGAGUUAUUUAUGUCCCUUGGAAAUAUUAGUUAUAUGGAACAUUGACUCCUGAGCACUCUGAUAUGUGCAGAUUUUUAUGAAAUUUACAUUAAAGGUUUAUAUCAUCAAUGUCUCAGCCAAAUUCCAAAAUCAGUGCUGAUGAAUUAUUUUUUAAAGAGUAAUGCCCCCUGGAAAUAUUGUUUUUUUUAUGGUAAACUGCAUUGAUAGCUCUAAUAUGUAAACAAUUUUGACAGAUUUUUAUGAAAAUAAUAUCAUAGGUUAAUAUCAGCAAUGUAUUUGACCAAAAAGUACCAAAAAAAAGAAGUGUUUGUUUGUUAGUUAUUGCCCUUGUAAUUUGGAUUGAUAAAAGUAUAUGCCUAUUUAUUUCAGACAUAAAAAUACCAAGUUAUGUGCCAGAUAUGUACUACCAGAAAGUGAAAGAAGUUGAAUAUAUAAAUUAUAAUGGACAGUAUCAGUGAUAUAACAAUAGACAUACAGAUUAAUUUAGGUUAAAGAAGUUCCUCUAACCAUCCAGACUACAUCAACUGUAAAGAAAUAUUCAGAAAUAAUAUCAGAGGAGACUUGUAUGGUGGAUGACCAUUUUUUCAAGAGUAACAUCAUGGAUAUUAAUAUGUAUUGGACAUAUAUACGAA
Molecule: long non-coding RNA, 4785 nt
Filed under: Mytilus galloprovincialis (Mediterranean mussel)
Lineage: Eukaryota; Metazoa; Mollusca; Bivalvia; Mytilida; Mytilidae
Source: RNAcentral